GAUGAACGCUGGCGGCGUGCCUAAUACAUGCAAGUCGAGCGAACAGACGAGGAGCUUGCUCCUCUGACGUUAGCGGCGGACGGGUGAGUAACACGUGGAUAACCUACCUAUAAGACUGGGAUAACUUCGGGAAACCGGAGCUAAUACCGGAUAAUAUAUUGAACCGCGUGGUUCAAUAGUGAAAGACGGUUUUGCUGUCACUUAUAGAUGGAUCCGCGCCGCAUUAGCUAGUUGGUAAGGUAACGGCUUACCAAGGCAACGAUGCGUAGCCGACCUGAGAGGGUGAUCGGCCACACUGGAACUGAGACACGGUCCAGACUCCUACGGGAGGCAGCAGUAGGGAAUCUUCCGCAAUGGGCGAAAGCCUGACGGAGCCACGCCGCGUGAGUGAUGAAGGUCUUCGGAUCGUAAAACUCUGUUAUUAGGGAAGAACAAAUGUGUAAGAAACUAUGCACGUCUUGACGGUACCUAAUCAGAAAGCCACGGCUAACUACGUG
RNAcentral lists this ribosomal RNA (497 nucleotides) under uncultured bacterium. RNAcentral's name for it is "partial 16S ribosomal RNA". It matches the Rfam family "Bacterial small subunit ribosomal RNA", at positions 28 to 507 of the family's 1533-position model. The record is from RNAcentral.